GACUCCUUCAGCGCGCUGCCUGCCUGCCCAGGGCCUUCCCGGAGAGCAGGUGACGGCGGCCUCCGGGCAUGGAGCUCGCGCUGACGAAAGGUUCUGGAAGCCGCCGUAAAAAGUAAUCAAGAAACGGGUGACAGGACUUUUCCCCUUUGAGGAACCGUUUGAGGUGUGGCACGAUACAGCAAGUCAGCUGCCAAAGAGGGGCUUAGCCACAGGAAGUGCGUGCCCAGAACGCAUCUCCCGUGUCCCUCACAGCAGUUCUAUGAGGCUGGCUGCCCUGUUUGACAACUGAGGCCCGCAUCUUCCCCGGAAUCACCGACGUGUGGCUCUGAGCCCUGUCCCAGGGAUUUUCUCCAUCAGAGAAGAGGAGCACUUUGAGCUUUGAGAGGAGCAGCCCUCUGCAAGUGAAGUGGAAAAAAAGGAAGCAGGCGAGGAGGCCCAUCCAGACCCUCCCCCAAGACCCUUGCUGAAAUGGCUGGGAUGCGGCGUGCAGAAGCUCUCCUUUCCUUCACAGCCCCUGGCUUUCCAAGAGUCCCUGCCCACCCAGAUGCCCGCUGGCAGAUGCAGCCUCAUCUCAAGGACACUGCUUGCUGGAUAAAUCCCUCACCACCCUAGAGACAGCCCACGGUCCUGAGACAAGGAUGCGGGCCAGGCUUGUUGCACGUAAGCGCCUCCCGCAGAAACCAGUGAGGCCGGAGUUCCAGAGGAAAUGAUGUAGGGACAGAGGCAGAGGGCCUCCAGGAGGCACCAGCCCCAGAGUCUUCCCUAGAAUCAGACUUUAAGCACAAGCAGGGAGGGAAAGCACUUGAGCAGUGCCCGUCCCUGCAUACCUGGCCUCUGCUGGAACCCAUGCAGGGACAGGACACUUCUUUAUCAGCAAUCCUGUUCCUCUCCUGGGCAGCUUCAACCUGAACAUCCUCCUUCACCUUGAGCUAAAAUGGGUUUCUUGUCACCCUUGCCCAUCAAACCUGGCCUUGCCCUCAGGAACCACACAGGACAAGCCUAAUACUUCCUUCUUGUGGCAACACUUUAGCAAUUGAGACCUGGCUGUCAGGUCCUCCAAAUAAACAUUUGUGACUGUGAUGUUGACUUGCCGCUUCUGGGGACCUCUUCUCAUUUGAUCGGAGAAAGUUUUUCAGGGUUAAACCUACUUCUUUCCCCCAAGAAACUCUUCUUGUCAGGCUCACGCCUAUAAUCCUGGCACUUUGGGAGGCCAAGGCAGGAGGAUUGUUUGAGACCAGCCUGGGCAACGUAGGUAGACUAUGUUGC
Molecule: long non-coding RNA, 1266 nt
Filed under: Homo sapiens (human)
Lineage: Eukaryota; Metazoa; Chordata; Mammalia; Primates; Hominidae
Description: HSALNT0384291
Source: RNAcentral